This 480-nucleotide RNase P RNA is filed under the name Treponema sp. Its description in RNAcentral is "RNase P RNA component class A". It matches the Rfam family "Bacterial RNase P class A". Rfam says of the family: Ribonuclease P (RNase P) is a ubiquitous endoribonuclease, found in archaea, bacteria and eukarya as well as chloroplasts and mitochondria. Its best characterised activity is the generation of mature 5'-ends of tRNAs by cleaving the 5'-leader elements of precursor-tRNAs. Cellular RNase Ps are ribonucleoproteins. The record is from RNAcentral. Lineage: Bacteria; Pseudomonadati; Spirochaetota; Spirochaetia; Treponematales; Treponemataceae.
AAGGCGGAUCGCAUCAUCGUCGCAUUCGGGACUGCGGUUUCGGAUGGCGGAGGAAAGUCCGGGCUCGAUAGGGAGCGGCGCCGGGUAACGCCCGGGCGGAUGCCUGUAGCCAUCGCCGGGUCGCGCGAGCGAUCCAGCGAUGAAACGCGGCAUCCGACAGACAGCGCAACAGAAAGCAAACUACCCUCUCCGAGGGAAAAGGUGAAAGGGUGGGGUAAGAGCCCACCGCGUCGCCGGUGACGGCGACGGCACGGCAAGCCUCGCCGCGAGCAAGACCAAGCAGCAAAGGGUUCCCGCCCUCGCCGGGGUGACUCGGCGGAAUUUGCGGGUUGGUCGCUAGAGCGCAGGGGAGACCUUGCGCCUAGAUGGAUGAUGAUGGCCCCGUCGGUUGAGCUUGUUCCCUUUUUGUCGCGUGCGGCGAAAUGGGCAGCGGGUGAAACCGGCGUGGCACAGGACCCGGCUUAUAGAUCCGCCUUCUUU